RNAcentral lists this transfer RNA (93 nucleotides) under Actinoplanes octamycinicus. Its description in RNAcentral is "tRNA-Leu". Lineage: Bacteria; Bacillati; Actinomycetota; Actinomycetes; Micromonosporales; Micromonosporaceae. The record is from RNAcentral.
GCAGGCUGUCGGUCGGCUUGGCCCGGCCGAUCAGCUCGGCCUGCUCGGCGGUGAAGGCGAUGUCCGCGCCGUUGCGGAUCCGGCGUGCCUCCG